This 38-nucleotide ribosomal RNA is filed under the name Orbicella faveolata. Its description in RNAcentral is "partial 28S ribosomal RNA". Lineage: Eukaryota; Metazoa; Cnidaria; Anthozoa; Scleractinia; Merulinidae. RNAcentral also lists the same sequence under 2 other names. The record is from RNAcentral.
UUGACCUCAGAUCAGGCAAGGCUACCCGCUGAAUUUAA